GAUGAACGCUAGCUACAGGCUUAACACAUGCAAGUCGAGGGGCAACAUGGGAGUAGCUUGCUACUUCUGAUGACGACCGGCGGAUGGGUGAGUAACGCGUAUGCAACUUGCCUCUUAGUGGGGAAUAACCCGGAGAAAUCCGGACUAAUACCGCAUACACUUAGUUAUCCGCAUGGAUGAUUAAGGAAAGAUUUAUUGCUAAGAGAUAGGCAUGCGUUCCAUUAGUUAGUUGGUGAGGUAACGGCUCACCAAGGCAUCGAUGGAUAGGGGAGCUGAGAGGCUUAUCCCCCACAUUGGGACUGAGACACGGCCCAA
This 315-nucleotide ribosomal RNA is filed under the name uncultured bacterium. Its description in RNAcentral is "bacterial SSU rRNA". It matches the Rfam family "Bacterial small subunit ribosomal RNA", at positions 28 to 334 of the family's 1533-position model. The record is from RNAcentral.